AUGCACCUCCUCCUCCUGGCCAUCACGGCCUUCGUUGUCCCUUUAGUCCUUGCCAUAUCCAUCCAGCCUCUCACGGACGACAUGGCCAGGCCCAACCACCUCAUGGCGAUCAGGAGCACCGGCGCCUUUAUCGCCGAGCACGUCAGGCUCCUGAAUGAGAUAAAACACGAUGUUAUGAAGUUCGUCGUCAUCAACAUCGCCCUCCUGCUCGUCACGCUGACGCUUGGUUUCGCCAAGCAGGCCCUCACAUUCUUCUUGCGCUCCAUGGGCUACUUCGGCGGUCGCUACUCACUACCCGAUAUCAUCCGCAAGGUGAUCAAGGGGAGCAGUCUGAAGGGCCCUUCGACCACCAUCGACGUUGCCGACGUGCUUCUGUUCACAUGCAUGGCACUUCUGGGUUCCAUGCUUUUUGCCAUGACGUGCCGCCGCUCUGGGGUGUUCUCUGUCGAGGGUCUCAUCUUCCUCCUCACACUCGUCGUCUACCUUUAUCUGAAUAGUUAG
This 501-nucleotide ribosomal RNA is filed under the name Triticum aestivum (bread wheat). RNAcentral describes it as "partial small subunit ribosomal RNA". Lineage: Eukaryota; Viridiplantae; Streptophyta; Magnoliopsida; Poales; Poaceae. The record is from RNAcentral.